Non-coding RNA from Microcebus murinus (gray mouse lemur), 1789 nucleotides. NCBI's taxonomy places the organism in Eukaryota, Metazoa, Chordata, Mammalia, Primates, Cheirogaleidae. The record is from RefSeq and is a predicted model, not a curated record.
AGGACCCCCCAUGGAGACUGCACCCAUGGAGACCCCCCAUGGAGACUGCACCCAUGGAGACCCCCCCAUGGAGACUGCACCCAUGGAGAGCCCCCACUGUGACAGCCCCACAGUGACGCCCCCAUGGUGGUGACUCCCCCCACCACAGUGACUGCCUGUGGCUUGUCCACCUUCCCCCCACCAAGGCUUAGGGCCUCUCCAUGUUAGACUCUAGUUGAGUGUAUUGAAGUUCAGUAGAUAGAAAAUACUAAAUACUGAAAAGACUUGUUUUUAAGGCUACUUAAAUGACAAAAAUACAUAUACAGGUGUGAACAUAAAUCUAAUUUAAAAGCUGUUGGAACGCCCCCCCCAAACAGUUUAAGCCUUGAGAUGUGACCGUGACCUGAUUCAUGUGUAGUUAUGACUUCCGCUUCUCAGAUUAUAGAUGAACUCACUUUCCUGUAGUUCUUGUUCCGUAACUGUAACAAAGGCUAGGGAGAAUUAAAUGACGUCAGGGACAGAAACCUGCCUUCUUAGUUAAUGACCCUGUUAUAGAUUAACUUCCCCUUUGUUGCCCUGCUUUGCUUAGAGAAAACCCGUGACUGUUACACCCUCUGUGAGAAUGGGAGUGUGCCCUUCCAAGAAGAAACUGCCUAUAACCAGCCAAAUUGCCGGAACUGUGUGGAAACUGUUGUAAUCCCGCUAACUACUGUCUCUGCCGGUGUAAUGACUCCUCAGCUUCCUGCUUCAGAAUGGAUGCCACUCCUUGGAGUUGGCGUUUCCAAGUGGCCAUCCCCAAACUUUGCACGUGAACAAACUCUCUUUAAAUUAACGCAGGAGUCUAGGUGCUUUCAAGACUAGGUUUCCACAGCCAUAGCAGAGUGGAGAUUUGGGGAUUGUUUGGGAGACAAGAGAAUCAUCUCCUGCACUUACGAAGAUCCAUUAUUUGUGGCUGCCCGGAUCACCCUGGCUCAGCAGGAGCAGUGACUGGGAUCAACUAGUGAUGUCUGCCGUGGGCAGGGUACCUGCAUCAUGAGAGGUGUCUGCCAUCUUUGCUCUGCAGGGCCCCAGCAUCAUCUGCUGGGUCAUGUUCUGUUGCUGCCACACACCUACCUCCACCCCAGGACAGACCUGAGCUAACACAGGCCUCCAUGCUGCUGGGCAGGGUCUCCUCUGGUCUCGUAUAGACGGUUCACCAGAAGCCUGUGCACAAGCCCGCUGCACAAAGACAGCAGGUCAUUGGUGUAUCAGUGUGUGUGCGAACUUGUAACAAACACGUCUUCCACUUUGCUCUGGCUCAUCAUAAACUGACAUGUUCCUUCCUGUCCUUGCAUGGCUGCAAAGGGCCCUUAACAUGGCCAUAAACUGUCUCUGACCCACACCUUCCUAUUUAAAUACUGUAUAUCUUCACUGAGAUCUUCUAUUAUAUACAAAGAUGUUUAAAAUUCAUUUGCAACAGAAUAAACACAAGCCUGGGUUUAGAACUAUGCCCCCGGAAACUUUUUUUAUCCUAACAAUGCAACCACACAAUGCUAAUUUAAUGAUAAUAGAAGGACAUUUUAAAACACAGCUGAGUUUUGGGACAGUAUGACAAAACAGAAGUUAAAAAAAAAAAAUACUUGGUAAUUAUAGCCCAAGUUCCCGUUUUCCCCACAGUGAAGUCAAGAUUUGAAAGGGAGAGGAGGGGUGCAGCUACAGCUUGACACAUCUGGAGUUCACAGGCAUAUAUUCAAUUGUCAAAGAGCUCCAAGCUCAUAGGAAUGACAGAAAUGGUGCAGUACGCAGGAAGAACAAACCAUAGUGACUUUUU